GUCUUUUUGAUUUUAUAAAAAGUCCAAUCUGCUCACUGAAUUUUAAAGAGCCGCAGUAUUUUAACUGUGCAAAGGUAGCAUAAUAAUUAGUUUUUUAAUUGAAAGCUGGAAUGAAAGAUUAGACAAGAAAUUAACUUUCUUUAUUAUAAGAAUUGAAUUUAAAAUUUGAGUUAAAAUUCUUAAAUGGUGUUAAAAGACGAGAAGACCCUAUAGAUUUUUAUUUUAAUUUGAAUAAAGUAUAAUUUUAUAUUUAAAAUAAAAUUUAAUUGGGGUGAUUUUGUAAUAAAAAAAACUUAAUUUUAUAAAAACAUUAAUAUUUGGAUUUUUUGAUCUAAAAUUUUUAAUUAAAAGAUUAAAUUACCUUAGGGAUAACAGCGUAAUUUUAUUUAAGAGUUCAUAUCUAUAAUAAAGUUUGCGACCUCGAUGUUGAAUUAAGAAAUAUAUAGGAGUAGAAAUUUAUAGUUAUUAGUCUGUUCGACUAUUAAAUUCU
This 490-nucleotide ribosomal RNA is filed under the name Anomopsocus amabilis. Its description in RNAcentral is "partial 16S ribosomal RNA". The stretch from base 368 to 490 matches the Rfam family "Bacterial large subunit ribosomal RNA", at positions 2473 to 2596 of the family's 2925-position model. Lineage: Eukaryota; Metazoa; Arthropoda; Insecta; Psocodea; Lachesillidae. The record is from RNAcentral.